CCUACGGGGGGCAGCAGUGGGGAAUAUUGCACAAUGGGGGAAACCCUGAUGCAGCAACGCCGCGUGAGCGAUGAAGGCCUUCGGGUCGUAAAGCUCUGUCCUAAGGGAAGAAUACUGACGGUACCUUAGGAGGAAGCCCCGGCUAACUACGUGCCAGCAGCCGCGGUAAUACGUAGGGGGCAAGCGUUAUCCGGAAUCACUGGGUGUAAAGGGUGCGUAGGCGGUAGGGCAAGUCAGAUGUGAAAGCCCGGGGCUCAACCCCGGGAUUGCAUUUGAAACUGUCUUACUAGAGUGCAGGAGAGGACACUGGCCUCUCUGGUGGAGCCGUGACAGGGCCUGGUAACAGGAAGCAAGUCCGUGGCGAAGGCGGCUUUAUGGGCAUUCACUCGCGCUGAGGCACGAAAGCGUGGGGGGCUAAGAGGGUUAGACGCCCUUGCAGUG
RNAcentral lists this ribosomal RNA (441 nucleotides) under uncultured bacterium. Its description in RNAcentral is "bacterial SSU rRNA". It matches the Rfam family "Bacterial small subunit ribosomal RNA", at positions 338 to 795 of the family's 1533-position model. The record is from RNAcentral.